This 483-nucleotide ribosomal RNA is filed under the name uncultured bacterium. Its description in RNAcentral is "bacterial SSU rRNA". It matches the Rfam family "Bacterial small subunit ribosomal RNA", at positions 30 to 507 of the family's 1533-position model. The record is from RNAcentral.
AUUGAACGCUGGCGGCAUGCCUUACACAUGCAAGUCGAACGGCAGCACGGGAGCAAUCCUGGUGGCGAGUGGCGAACGGGUGAGUAAUAUAUCGGAACGUGCCCAGUCGUGGGGGAUAACGUAGCGAAAGCUACGCUAAUACCGCAUACGAUCUACGGAUGAAAGCGGGGGAUCGCAAGACCUCGCGCGAUUGGAGCGGCCGAUAUCAGAUUAGCUAGUUGGUGGGGUAAAAGCUCACCAAGGCGACGAUCUGUAGCUGGUCUGAGAGGACGACCAGCCACACUGGAACUGAGACACGGUCCAGACUCCUACGGGAGGCAGCAGUGGGGAAUUUGGACAAUGGGCGCAAGCCUGAUCCAGCAAUGCCGCGUGCAGGAUGAAGGCCUUCGGGUUGUAAACUGCUUUUGUACGGAACGAAACGGUGAGCUCUAAUAAAGCUUGCUAAUGACGGUACCGUAAGAAUAAGCACCGGCUAACUACGUG